Molecule: transfer RNA, 72 nt
Filed under: Camelus bactrianus (Bactrian camel)
Lineage: Eukaryota; Metazoa; Chordata; Mammalia; Artiodactyla; Camelidae
Also listed under: 1 other name
Rfam family: tRNA
About the family: Transfer RNA (tRNA) molecules are approximately 80 nucleotides in length.
Source: Rfam by way of RNAcentral
GAGGGUAUAACUCAGCGGUAGAGUACAUGCUUAGCAUGCACGAGGUCCUUGCUUCAAUCCCCAUUACCUUCA